Molecule: ribosomal RNA, 460 nt
Filed under: uncultured bacterium
Lineage: Bacteria
Description: partial 16S ribosomal RNA
Rfam family: Bacterial small subunit ribosomal RNA
Source: RNAcentral
CCUACGGGUGGCAGCAGUGAGGAAUAUUGGUCAAUGGGCGCGAGCCUGAACCAGCCAAGUAGCGUGAAGGAUGAAUGCCCUCCGGGUUGUAAACUUCUUUUAUAAAGGAAUAAAGUGAGUCACGUGUGCCUUUUUGUAUGUACUUUAUGAGUAAAGGUCGGCUAACUCCGUGCCAGCAGCCGAGGUACUACGGUGGGUCCGAGCGUUGUCCGGAUUUAUUGGGUUUAAAGGGAGCGUAGAUGGGUUGUUAAGUCAGUUGUGAAAGUUUGCGGCUCAACCGGAAAAGUGCAAUUGAUACUGGCAGUCUUGAGUACAGUUGAGGUAGGCGGAAUUCGUGGUGUAGCGGUGAAAUGCUUAGAUAUCACGAAGAACACCGAUUGCGAAGGCAGCUUACUAAACUGAGACUGACAUUGAUGCUCGAAAGUGUGGGGAUCAAACAGGAUUAGAUACCCUGGUAGUC